RNAcentral lists this transfer RNA (73 nucleotides) under Clostridiales bacterium. RNAcentral's name for it is "tRNA-Thr". It matches the Rfam family "tRNA". From Rfam's summary of the family: Transfer RNA (tRNA) molecules are approximately 80 nucleotides in length. Their secondary structure includes four short double-helical elements and three loops (D, anti-codon, and T loops). Lineage: Bacteria; Bacillati; Bacillota; Clostridia; Eubacteriales. The record is from RNAcentral. RNAcentral also lists the same sequence under 1 other name.
GCUGGUGUGGCUCAGUCGGUAGAGCAGCUGAUUCGUAAUCAGCAGGUCGCGGGUUCGAGUCCCGCCACCAGCU